RNAcentral lists this ribosomal RNA (514 nucleotides) under uncultured bacterium. RNAcentral describes it as "bacterial SSU rRNA". It matches the Rfam family "Bacterial small subunit ribosomal RNA", at positions 31 to 518 of the family's 1533-position model. The record is from RNAcentral.
GAACGCUGGCGGCGUGCCUAAUACAUGCAAGUCGAACGGUCUUUCUAUGGAAGCUUGCUUCCACUGAGAAGAUAGUGGCGAACGGGUGAGUAACACGUGGGUAACCUGCCCAUAAGAGGGGGAUAACAUCCGGAAACGGGUGCUAAUACCGCAUAGUUUUCUUGAUCGCAUGAUUGAGAAAGGAAAGACGGCCUUUGUGCUGUCGCUUAUGGAUGGACCCGCGGCGUAUUAGUUAGUUGGUGAGGUAACGGCUCACCAAGACGAUGAUACGUAGCCGACCUGAGAGGGUGAUCGGCCACAUUGGGACUGAGACACGGCCCAAACUCCUACGGGAGGCAGCAGUAGGGAAUCUUCCGCAAUGGACGAAAGUCUGACGGAGCAACGCCGCGUGAGUGAAGAAAGGUUUUCGGAUCGUAAAACUCUGUUGUCAGAGAAGAACAAGUUGGAGAGUAACUGCUCCAGCCUUGACGGUAUCUGACCAGAAAGCCACGGCUAACUACGUGCCAGCCGCAGC